AGCCGGAAUGGAGCUUGGUCCCGGAUGUUAGCGGCGGACGGGUGAGUAACACGUGGGUAACCUGCCUGUAAGACUGGGAUAACUCCGGGAAACCGGAGCUAAUACCGGAUAGUUCCUUGAACCGCAUGGUUCAAGGAUGAAAGACGGUUUCGGCUGUCACUUACAGAUGGACCCGCGGCGCAUUAGCUAGUUGGUGAGGUAACGGCUCACCAAGGCGACGAUGCGUAGCCGACCUGAGAGGGUGAUCGGCCACACUGGGACUGAGACACGGCCCAGACUCCUACGGGAGGCAGCAGUAGGGAAUCUUCCGCAAUGGACGAAAGUCUGACGGAGCAACGCCGCGUGAGUGAUGAAGGUUUUCGGAUCGUAAAGCUCUGUUGUUAGGGAAGAACAAGUGCAAGAGUAACUGCUUGCACCUUGACGGUACCUAACCAGAAAGCCACGGCUAACUACGUGCCAGCAGCCGCGGUAAUACGUAGGUGGCAAGCGUUGUCCGGAAUUAUUGGGCGUAAAGGGCUCGCAGGCGGUUUCUUAAGUCUGAUGUGAAAGCCCCCGGCUCAACCGGGGAGGGUCAUUGGAAACUGGGAAACUUGAGUGCAGAAGAGGAGAGUGGAAUUCCACGUGUAGCGGUGAAAUGCGUAGAGAUGUGGAGGAACACCAGUGGCGAAGGCGACUCUCUGGUCUGUAACUGACGCUGAGGAGCGAAAGCGUGGGGAGCGAACAGGAUUAGAUACCCUGGUAGUCCACGCCGUAAACGAUGAGUGCUAAGUGUUAGGGGGUUUCCGCCCCUUAGUGCUGCAGCUAACGCAUUAAGCACUCCGCCUGGGGAGUACGGUCGCAAGACUGAAACUCAAGGAAUUGACGGGGGCCCGCACAAGCGGUGGGAGCAUGUGGUUUAAUUCGAAGCAACGCGAAGAACCUUACCAGGUCUUGACAUCCUCUGACACCCUAGAGAUAGGGCUUUCCCUUCGGGGACAGAGUGACAGGUGGUGCAUGCUUGUCGUCAGCUCGUGUCGUGAGAUUGUUGGGGUAAGGUCCCGCAACGAGCGCACCUUGAAUCUUAGUGGCAGCAUCAGUGGGCACUCUAGGUGACUGCCGUGACCAUCGGAAGGAAGUGGGGAUGACGUCAAUCAUCAUGCCCUUUGACCUGGCUACACGUCUAAUGGACGGAUCAGUGGACUGCACGA
This 1187-nucleotide ribosomal RNA is filed under the name Bacillus sp. (in: firmicutes). RNAcentral describes it as "bacterial SSU rRNA". It matches the Rfam family "Bacterial small subunit ribosomal RNA", at positions 65 to 1254 of the family's 1533-position model. The record is from RNAcentral. Lineage: Bacteria; Bacillati; Bacillota; Bacilli; Caryophanales; Bacillaceae.